GAUGAACGCUGGCGGCGUGCCUAAUACAUGCAAGUCGAGCGAACAGAUGAGGAGCUUGCUCCUCUGACGUUAGCGGCGGACGGGUGAGUAACACGUGGAUAACCUACCUAUAAGACUGGGAUAACUUCGGGAAACCGGAGCUAAUACCGGAUAAUAUAUUGAACCGCAUGGUUCAAUAGUGAAAGACGGUUUUGCUGUCACUUAUAGAUGGAUCCGCGCCGCAUUAGCUAGUUGGUAAGGUAACGGCUUACCGAGGCGACGAUGCGUAGCCGACCUGAGAGGGUGAUCGGCCACACUGGAACUGAGACACGGUCCAGACUCCUACGGGAGGCAGCAGUAGGGAAUCUUCCGCAAUGGGCGAAAGCCUGACGGAGCAACGCCGCGUGAGUGAUGAAGGUCUUCGGAUCGUAAAACUCUGUUAUUAGGGAAGAACAAAUGUGUAAGUAACUAUGCACGUCUUGACGGUACCUAAUCAGAAAGCCACGGCUAACUACGUG
Molecule: ribosomal RNA, 497 nt
Filed under: uncultured bacterium
Lineage: Bacteria
Description: partial 16S ribosomal RNA
Rfam family: Bacterial small subunit ribosomal RNA
Source: RNAcentral